UACGUAGGGGGCGAGCGUUAUCCGGAAUUAUUGGGCGUAAAGGGUUCGCAGGCGGCCUUGUAAGUCAGAUGUGAAAGACAGCGGCUUAACCGUUGUAAGCAUUUGAAACUGCAGGGCUUGAGUACAGGAGAGGAAAGCGGAAUUCCUAGUGUAGCGGUGAAAUGCGUAGAUAUUAGGAGGAACACCAGUGGCGAAGGCGGCUUUCUGGACUGAUACUGACGCUGAGGAACGAAAGCGUGGGGAGCAAACAGGAUUAGAUACCCCCGUAGUCUCU
Molecule: ribosomal RNA, 274 nt
Filed under: uncultured prokaryote
Description: partial 16S ribosomal RNA
Rfam family: Bacterial small subunit ribosomal RNA
Source: RNAcentral